RNAcentral lists this ribosomal RNA (215 nucleotides) under uncultured bacterium. RNAcentral describes it as "partial 16S ribosomal RNA". It matches the Rfam family "Bacterial small subunit ribosomal RNA", at positions 120 to 334 of the family's 1533-position model. The record is from RNAcentral.
AGGAACCUGCCUUGGAGAGGGGAAUAACACUCCGAAAGGAGUGCUAAUACCGCAUGAUGCAGUUGGGUCGCAUGGCUCUGACUGCCAAAGAUUUAUCGCUCUGAGAUGGCCUCGCGUCUGAUUAGCUAGUAGGCGGGGUAACGGCCCACCAAGGCGACGAUCAGUAGCCGGACUGAGAGGUUGAACGGCCACAUUGGGACUGAGACACGGCCCAG